UCAGACGAUGCGUCAUGCAUAUCAAUAAGCGGAGGAAAAGAAACUAACAAGGAUUCCCUUAGUAACGGCGAGUGAAGCGGGAAGAGCUCAAAUUUGAAAUCUUCAAGGUUUUACCUUGACGAAUUGUAGUUUAAAGAAGUGUUUUCUGUUGAAGUUUUGGUAAAAGUUCUUUGGAAUAGGACAUCAUAGAGGGUGAGAAUCCCGUAUUUGACCAUUAUCUCCAGCUGUGUGAUACACUUUCAAAGAGUCGGAUUGUUUGGGAAUGCAGUCCAAAAUGGGUGGUAAAUUUCAUCUAAAGCUAAAUACUGGCGAGAGACCGAUAGCGAACAAGUACCGUGAGGGAAAGAUGAAAAGAACUUUGAAAAGAGAGUUAAACAGUACGUGAAAUUGUCAAAAGGGAAGCGUUUGACACCAGUGUUGUUUUCUCGAAAAUCAAUUAAAAAGAGUUGGAUUUUGUGUUGUAUUGACCUUAACAGCUUGCUUCACUCUUUUCCUGCUUUUUUUAAUGCACUUUUCGUUUAACAAGUCAACAUCAGUUUCUUUUGUUGUAAAAGGGUCAUUGGAAGGUGGCUUUCUCUUCGGAGAAAGUGUUUAUAGCCUUUGCUCUCUGCAAUCGGAGAGAUUGAGGUCUGCAGCGUAGAUCCUUCGGGGUUAGAUACAUUUGUGCUAAGUUAUAGCCUUUCAUAGACAACUUGUUGACUAUGAUUCAGUCAUGUAACUUACUCGCUUAUGCUAUUUUACCUACGCUUAGGAUGUUGAUAUGCAUGACUGAUAU
Molecule: ribosomal RNA, 775 nt
Filed under: uncultured Neocallimastigales
Lineage: Eukaryota; Fungi; Neocallimastigomycota; Neocallimastigomycetes; Neocallimastigales
Description: partial large subunit ribosomal RNA
Rfam family: Eukaryotic large subunit ribosomal RNA
Source: RNAcentral